GUUAAGCGACUAAGCGUACACGGUGGAUGCCCUGGCAGUCAGAGGCGAUGAAGGACGUGCUAAUCUGCGAUAAGCGUCGGUAAGGUGAUAUGAACCGUUAUAACCGGCGAUUUCCGAAUGGGGAAACCCAGUGUGUUUCGACACACUAUCAUUAACUGAAUCCAUAGGUUAAUGAGGCGAACCGGGGGAACUGAAACAUCUAAGUACCCCGAGGAAAAGAAAUCAACCGAGAUUCCCCCAGUAGCGGCGAGCGAACGGGGAGCAGCCCAGAGCCUGAAUCAGUGUGUGUGUUAGUGGAAGCGUCUGGAAAGGCGCGCGAUACAGGGUGACAGCCCCGUACACAAAAAUGCACAUGCUGUGAGCUCGAUGAGUAGGGCGGGACACGUGGUAUCCUGUCUGAAUAUGGGGGGACCAUCCUCCAAGGCUAAAUACUCCUGACUGACCGAUAGUGAACCAGUACCGUGAGGGAAAGGCGAAAAGAACCCCGGCGAGGGGAGUGAAAAAGAACCUGAAACCGUGUACGUACAAGCAGUGGGAGCACGCUUAGGCGUGUGACUGCGUACCUUUUGUAUAAUGGGUCAGCGACUUAUAUUCUGUAGCAAGGUUAACCGAAUAGGGGAGCCGAAGGGAAACCGAGUCUUAACUGGGCGUUAAGUUGCAGGGUAUAGACCCGAAACCCGGUGAUCUAGCCAUGGGCAGGUUGAAGGUUGGGUAACACUAACUGGAGGACCGAACCGACUAAUGUUGAAAAAUUAGCGGAUGACUUGUGGCUGGGGGUGAAAGGCCAAUCAAACCGGGAGAUAGCUGGUUCUCCCCGAAAGCUAUUUAGGUAGCGCCUCGUGAAUUCAUCUCCGGGGGUAGAGCACUGUUUCGGCAAGGGGGUCAUCCCGACUUACCAACCCGAUGCAAACUGCGAAUACCGGAGAAUGUUAUCACGGGAGACACACGGCGGGUGCUAACGUCCGUCGUGAAGAGGGAAACAACCCAGACCGCCAGCUAAGGUCCCAAAGUCAUGGUUAAGUGGGAAACGAUGUGGGAAGGCCCAGACAGCCAGGAUGUUGGCUUAGAAGCAGCCAUCAUUUAAAGAAAGCGUAAUAGCUCACUGGUCGAGUCGGCCUGCGCGGAAGAUGUAACGGGGCUAAACCAUGCACCGAAGCUGCGGCAGCGACGCUGAUGCGUUGUUGGGUAGGGGAGCGUUCUGUAAG
This 1205-nucleotide ribosomal RNA is filed under the name Escherichia coli. RNAcentral's name for it is "partial 23S ribosomal RNA". It matches the Rfam family "Bacterial large subunit ribosomal RNA", at positions 1 to 1247 of the family's 2925-position model. The record is from RNAcentral. Lineage: Bacteria; Pseudomonadati; Pseudomonadota; Gammaproteobacteria; Enterobacterales; Enterobacteriaceae.